RNAcentral lists this ribosomal RNA (497 nucleotides) under uncultured bacterium. RNAcentral describes it as "partial 16S ribosomal RNA". It matches the Rfam family "Bacterial small subunit ribosomal RNA", at positions 28 to 507 of the family's 1533-position model. The record is from RNAcentral.
GAUGAACGCUGGCGGCGUGCCUAAUACAUGCAAGUCGAGCGAACGGACGAGAAGCUUGCUUUUCUGAUGUUAGCGGCGGACGGGUGAGUAACACGUGGAUAACCUACCUAUAAGACUGGGAUAACUUCGGGAAACCGGAGCUAAUACCGGAUAAUAUUUUGAACCGCAUGGUUCAAAAGUGAAAGACGGUCUUGCUGUCACUUAUAGAUGGAUCCGCGCUGCAUUAGCUAGUUGGUAAGGUAACGGCUUACCAAGGCAACGAUGCAUAGCCGACCUGAGAGGGUGAUCGGACACACUGGAACUGAGACACGGUCCAGACUCCUACGGGAGGCAGCAGUAGGGAAUCUUCCGCAAUGGGCGAAAGCCUGACGGAGCAACGCCGCGUGAGUGAUGAAGGUCUUCGGAUCGUAAAACUCUGUUAGUAGGGAAGAACAUAUGUGUAAGUAACUGUGCACAUCUUGACGGUACCUAAUCAGAAAGCCACGGCUAACUACGUG